RNAcentral lists this ribosomal RNA (415 nucleotides) under uncultured eukaryote. RNAcentral's name for it is "SSU rRNA". It matches the Rfam family "Eukaryotic small subunit ribosomal RNA", at positions 592 to 1017 of the family's 1831-position model. The record is from RNAcentral.
CAAUAGCGUAUAUUAAAGUUGUUGCAGUUAAAAGCUCGUAGUUGGAUUUCUGGCGAUUGGGGUGGUCCACCGCAAGGUGAGCACUGUUCCCGGCCGCCAUCCUCUCGAGGGCUUGUGGUGCCAUUAACUUGGUGCUGCAGGAGCUCGGGACCUUUACUUUGAAAAAUUAGAGUGUUCAAAGCAGGCCUACGCUUGAAUACAUUAGCAUGGAAUAAUAGAAUAGGACUUUGGUUCUAUUUUGUUGGUUUCUAGGACCGAAGUAAUGAUUAAUAGGGACAGUUGGGGGCAUUAGUAUUUAAUUGUCAGAGGUGAAAUUCUUGGAUUUAUGAAAGACUAACUACUGCGAAAGCAUUUGCCAAGGAUGUUUUCAUUAAUCAAGAACGAAAGUUAGGGGAUCGAAGAUGAUCAGAUACCA